GAUGAACGCUAGCGGCAGGCUUAAUACAUGCAAGUCGAGGGGUAACAUGGGGUAGCAAUACUCUGAUGACGACCGGCAAACGGGUGCGGAACACGUAUGCAACUUUCCCAAAACUGGUGAAUAGCCCUCCGAAAGGAGGAUUAAUACACCGUAACAUAUAGAGGUGGCAUCGCCUUUAUAUUAUAGCUCCGGCGGUUUUGGAUGGGCGUGCGCCUGAUUAGGUAGUUGGUGUGGUAACGGCUCACCAAGCCUACGAUCAGUAACUGGUGUGAGAGGACGAUCAGACACACUGGAACUGAGACACGGUCCAGACUCCUACGGGAGGCAGCAGUGGGGAAUUUUCCGCAAUGGGCGAAAGCCUGACGGAGCAAUACCGCGUGAGGGAAGAAGGCCUAUGGGUUGUAAACCUCUUUUUUCUAGGGAGGAACAAAAUGACGUGUACCUGAAGAAUAAGCAUCG
Molecule: ribosomal RNA, 459 nt
Filed under: uncultured bacterium
Lineage: Bacteria
Description: bacterial SSU rRNA
Rfam family: Bacterial small subunit ribosomal RNA
Source: RNAcentral